CAGUUGGCUUUUAACCAAUUGGUCGAAGGUUCGAAUCCUUCACGACCCACCA
This 52-nucleotide transfer RNA is filed under the name Marinobacter sp. RNAcentral's name for it is "tRNA-Ser". It matches the Rfam family "tRNA", at positions 24 to 71 of the family's 71-position model. From Rfam's summary of the family: Transfer RNA (tRNA) molecules are approximately 80 nucleotides in length. Their secondary structure includes four short double-helical elements and three loops (D, anti-codon, and T loops). Lineage: Bacteria; Pseudomonadati; Pseudomonadota; Gammaproteobacteria; Pseudomonadales; Marinobacteraceae. The record is from RNAcentral.